ACGACUAAAAUUAACAGUUAGUUACUAGGAAGUAAAACCAAGCUGGGCUGUAAAAAGCCAUAAGCCACAAUAAACCACCUACAAACAAACAAUAUUCACUCGUGAAAGUUAGGGCACAAACUAAGAUUAGAUACCUUACUAUGCCUAACUGUAACACAACAAUUAAAUAACCAAUUGUUCGCCAAAUAACUACGAGUAAAAACUUAAAAUUUAAAAGACUUGACGGUACUUCACAACAACCUAGAGGAGCCUGUCUAAUAACCGAUACUCCACGAUUAACCUAACCCCCCCUGGCCUAACAGUCUAUAUACCGCCGUCGCCAGCCUACCUUAUGAAAGAAACAAAGUAAGCCCAACAGUCACCACACUAAUACGACAGGUCGAGGUGUAACUCAUGGGGGGGGACAAGAUGGGCUACAUUUUCUAACACAGAAAAUACGAAUAAACUAUGAAAAAGAAACUGAAGGCGGAUUUAGCAGUAAACUAAGAACAAAUAUACUCAGUCGAAAAUAAAGCAAUGAAGUGCGUACACACCGCCCGUCAUCCCUGUCAACACUUAUCAAACAUAAAUAAU
This 573-nucleotide ribosomal RNA is filed under the name Lytorhynchus maynardi (Maynard's longnose sand snake). RNAcentral's name for it is "partial 12S ribosomal RNA". Lineage: Eukaryota; Metazoa; Chordata; Lepidosauria; Squamata; Colubridae. The record is from RNAcentral.